RNAcentral lists this ribosomal RNA (253 nucleotides) under uncultured bacterium. RNAcentral describes it as "partial 16S ribosomal RNA". It matches the Rfam family "Bacterial small subunit ribosomal RNA", at positions 524 to 776 of the family's 1533-position model. The record is from RNAcentral.
UACGUAGGGUGCAAGCGUUAAUCGGAAUCACUGGGCGUAAAGCGUGCGCAGGCGGUGAUGUAAGACAGGUGUGAAAUCCCCGGGCUUAACCUGGGAACUGCAUUUGUGACUGCAUCGCUGGAGUGCGGCAGAGGGGGAUGGAAUUCCGCGUGUAGCAGUGAAAUGCGUAGAUAUGCGGAGGAACACCGAUGGCGAAGGCAAUCCCCUGGGCCUGCACUGACGCUCAUGCACGAAAGCGUGGGGAGCAAACAGG